AUGCGGACAAGUCCGAGACUGCCCAGAAGAGACUCCAUUUCUUUGGGUGCUCUAGCUCGAGAGAAGACACCCCUGCCACCUGGGACACCUCGACCUCUACCCGGCCAACCCCUGCUUGCUUGGGAAUUAAAAAAAAAAAAAAAGAAUUGAGUCCUAAAAGUGUGAAGAAUUGUACUGCCAAGUAUCCCGAUGUGUGACUCUGUAAUCUCUGCUCGCUGGUUCGCUGGCCUGUGUGUGUGCGCGCACGCGUGUGAUCCGAUGUCUCUCGGUGUGUGACUUUUUAAAGAGGCGUUUGGGCUGACCCUGCUCCUCCCAGCCCGCAUCUCUUCUUUGUUUCUACCUAUAUUGUAUUGCCCUGAUUCUUUCCGUCUCGUAAUCUCCUGAGGGAGGUGUGUGUAUGUAUGUUUGUGAACGUGUGUAUGGGGAAGGGGUUGGGGGUCGGGGGUCGGGAAGAAGAGAGGACUUGGCGGGGAAGGCGGGUUGGGCUGAGCGCGAAGGGAGUGUCUAGUUAGCUUUUUCUCAUCUCGGUUCUGGCACUUCUUUGGUCCCUCUGGUAGUGACGACCUGUUUCGAAUUGGUCCCAGACCAGGAAACCGUGUCUGAUAUUCUUAGCGACCUAGAAGUGCCCUAACGGCGAGAGAAAAAGACGAGUGUUUAACGUAUUUAUAAAAAUGAUAAGGACAGCUAGGUUUGGGGUGGGGGUGGGGGGCUUUCAGAUGGGAUUCGAUAGUCUUGGAAUCUUGGAAUGGGGCGGGGGGUGGGAGGGUUCCUGAGCCAGGUUGGGGAUCUUGGGGACAUUGCUCUCGAGCGUAUUUGGUUUGGAGAACCUAGCUUGGGGAUCGAACGAUUUUAGAUCCCUGGUUUGAUGGGUAUUCACCUGGUUCUGCUGUAUUGUGGAAAGAAAUGGUUCCUCAUGCAACUCAGCUGUCCCUUGUUUAAGGAUGAAUGAGGGGAGGAGUCACCCCUUUGGUAUAAAAUGAGGGCCCCCCACCCCGCCCCCCGCUUGAAGCUCAUUUGCAUGUACACUUGGAAAGAUCUCCGAUUUGAAGUAAUUUGGGAAGAACAUCUUGUCUGAAGUAAAAGGGAACUGGGAAUCCUCGUUAAGAUGUAAUGGGAAAUCCCUGGUUUUAAGUAAUUUGCAUGGUCUGGAUUUGAGGGAAAGCUCAGGUUUAGUGUGGUUUGGGAAGAAUCUUCUCUUGGAUGUAACUGGAGGGAUCCCUUCCUGAUGUACUUUAAACGAGGAGAACUAACCCAGCGUAGGGGUGGGGCACUUUAGGGGCAGUUUUCCUGCUUUGGCAUACUUCUGAAGAAGAGAUCCCUAAUUUGAUAUUAUUUCCAUGUGAAAGGCUGGAAGGGUAUCAUCCACCGACCUGUGUUUUGGAAGGACUUUAAAGCUUCCCCCACUUUCGUGUUUGGGCUUCACUGGGCAUGGGGGUGGGAAAGAUCUAUCAUUUCAUGUAAUUUAGGGUUUAAUCCCUAGUCUGAAGUAAAUUGUGGAGUUUGGGGAUUGCUGGGUUUGUGACCAGAGGGAUCUCUAAUCUGGUAUAGGGUUAAGAGUUCUCCUGUCUGGUGUGAUGGGAUAAUCUGUGGUUUUCCUGUGGAGGGAUCCCUGAUAUGGCAUAGUUGGGAAGAGGAGGUUCCAGUUUGAUUGGGGAGGCCCCUGGUUUGGGAGGAGAGACCUCAUAUUGGCGUCUUGUUUGUUAAGUUGUUCAUUAUUUGAACUUCUUUUCUGUACAAAAAAAAAUAAAGAUUUGGAAUGAAAUACA
This 1766-nucleotide long non-coding RNA is filed under the name Monodelphis domestica (gray short-tailed opossum). RNAcentral describes it as "lncRNA (ENSMODG00000040673.1)". The record is from RNAcentral. Lineage: Eukaryota; Metazoa; Chordata; Mammalia; Didelphimorphia; Didelphidae.